UAUUAAAAAUUUUAUCCAUUUAUAUCGAUAAAAAUUGGCGUGACUGAUGAAAUAACCAGAUAAUUACACGUGAAUUGCCACAUGGUUAACACUUAACAUACAUGGACUGGGUUUUAACUAUAGAAAUAGGUGAAAUUUUUAACA
Gossypium raimondii (Peruvian cotton) is the source of this 144-nucleotide non-coding RNA. NCBI's taxonomy places the organism in Eukaryota, Viridiplantae, Streptophyta, Magnoliopsida, Malvales, Malvaceae. The record is from Rfam.